AGUGAACGCUGGCGGUAGGCCUAACACAUGCAAGUCGAACGGCAGCACAGUAAGAGCUUGCUCUUACGGGUGGCGAGUGGCGGACGGGUGAGGAAUACAUCGGAAUCUACUUUUUCGUGGGGGAUAACGUAGGGAAACUUACGCUAAUACCGCAUACGACCUACGGGUGAAAGCAGGGGAUCUUCGGACCUUGCGCGAUUGAAUGAGCCGAUGUCGGAUUAGCUAGUUGGCGGGGUAAAGGCCCACCAAGGCGACGAUCCGUAGCUGGUCUGAGAGGAUGAUCAGCCACACUGGAACUGAGACACGGUCCAGACUCCUACGGGAGGCAGCAGUGGGGAAUAUUGGACAAUGGGAGCAAGCCUGAUCCAGCCAUACCGCGUGGGUGAAGAAGGCCUUCGGGUUGUAAAGCCCUUUUGUUGGGAAAGAAAAGCAGCAGGUUAAUACCCCGCUGUUCUGACGGUACCCAAAGAAUAAGCACCGGUUAACUUCGUG
This 492-nucleotide ribosomal RNA is filed under the name uncultured bacterium. Its description in RNAcentral is "partial 16S ribosomal RNA". It matches the Rfam family "Bacterial small subunit ribosomal RNA", at positions 29 to 507 of the family's 1533-position model. The record is from RNAcentral.